RNAcentral lists this ribosomal RNA (253 nucleotides) under uncultured bacterium. Its description in RNAcentral is "partial 16S ribosomal RNA". It matches the Rfam family "Bacterial small subunit ribosomal RNA", at positions 524 to 776 of the family's 1533-position model. The record is from RNAcentral.
UACGGAGGGUGCAAGCGUUAAUCGGAAUUACUGGGCGUAAAGCGUGCGCAGGCGGUUUGUUAAGUCCGUUGUGAAAGCCCCGAGCUCAACUUGGGAAUUGCAGUGGAUACUGGCAGGCUGGAGUACGGUAGAGGAAGGUGGAAUUCCCGGUGUAGCAGUGAAAUGCAUAGAUAUCGGGAGGAACACCAGUGGCGAAGGCGGCCUUCUGGACCAGUACUGACGCUCAUGCACGAAAGCGUGGGGAGCAAACAGG